RNAcentral lists this ribosomal RNA (401 nucleotides) under uncultured bacterium. RNAcentral's name for it is "bacterial SSU rRNA". It matches the Rfam family "Bacterial small subunit ribosomal RNA", at positions 29 to 414 of the family's 1533-position model. The record is from RNAcentral.
AAUGAACGCUGGCGGCGUGCUUAACACAUGCAAGUCGAGCGAGGCCUUGGGGGGCAACUCCCAGAGUCGAGCGGCGGACGGGUGAGUAACACGUGGGUAACCUGCCCGGGAGUGGGGAAUACCUCGGGGAAACUCGAGCUAAUACCGCAUGACAUCUUUGGGACGAAAGUCCUGACGAUCAAAGCGGGGUCGCAAGAUCUCGCGCUACCGGAUGGGGCCCGCGCCCGAUUAGCUAGUGGUGAGGUAACGGCUCACCAAGGCUUCGAUCGGUAACCGGCCUGAGAGGGCGAUCGGUCACACCGGAACUGAGACACGGUCCGGACUCCUACGGGAGGCAGCAGUGGGGAAUCUUGCGCAAUGGGCGAAAGCCUGACGCAGCAACGCCGCGUGGAGGAUGAAGG